This 1427-nucleotide ribosomal RNA is filed under the name Acinetobacter junii. Its description in RNAcentral is "bacterial SSU rRNA". It matches the Rfam family "Bacterial small subunit ribosomal RNA". Lineage: Bacteria; Pseudomonadati; Pseudomonadota; Gammaproteobacteria; Moraxellales; Moraxellaceae. The record is from RNAcentral.
GCAAGUCGAAGCGGUAGAUAGAGUGUGCUUGCUACCUUAUCUUAGCGGCAGACGGGUGAAUAAUGCUUAUGACUCUGCCUAUUAGUGGGGGACAACAUUCCAAUAAGGAAUGCUAAUACCGCAUACGUCCUACGGGAGAAAGCGGGGGAUCUUCGGACCUUGCGCUAAUAUAUGAGCCUAAGUCAUAUUAGCUAUUUGGAGGUGUAAAGGCCUACCAACGCCAAUAUCUGUAUCGGGUCUGAGAAGAUGAUCCGCCACUCUGGCACUGACACAGGGCCCACACUCCUACGGGAGGCAGCAGUGGGGAAUAUUGGACAAUGGGGGGAACCCUGAUCCAGCCAUGCCGCGUGUGUGAAUAACGCCUUAUGGUUGUAACGCUCUUUAAGCGAGGAGGAGGCUACUGAGACUAAUACUCUUGGAUAGUGAACGUUACUCGAAUAAUAGGCACCGGAUACCUCUGUGCCAGCACCCGCGUAAAUACAGAGGCUACGAGCAUUAAUAAUGAUUGACUGUACGUAACGCGUGCGCGGGCGGCUUUUUAAGUCGGAUGUGAAAUCCCCGACCUUAGCUUGCGAAUUGCAUUCCAUACUGGGAAGCUAGAGUAUGAGAGAGGAUGGAUAGAAUUCCAGGUGUAGCGAAUGAUAUGCGAUAUAUAUCUGGAGAGAAUAUGGAUGAGCGAACGCAGCCAUCUGCCCUAGUACUGACUCUGACGUACGAAUGCAUGGGGAGCAACCAGAUUUAGAUACCUUGUUAUUCCAUCCGGUAAACAAUGUUUAUUAGCCGUUGGGGCCUUUGAGUCUUUAGUGGCGCAGCUAACGCGAUAAGUAGCCCCCCUGGGGAGUACGGUCGCAAGACUAAAACUCAAAUGAAUUGACGGGGGCCCGCACAAGCGGUGGAGCAUGUGUUUUAUUUCGAUGCAACGCGAAGACCCUUACCUGUCCUUGACAUCCUAGAAACUUUCCAGAGAUGGAUUGGUCCCUUCGGGAAUCUAGAUCCAGGGGCUGCAUGGCUGUGUUCAGCUCGUGUCUGGAGAGGUUGGGUUAAGUCCCGCAACGAGCGCAACCCUUUUCCUUAUUUGCCAGCAUUUCGGAUGGGAACUUUAAGGAUACUGCCAGUGACAAACCGGAGGAAGGUGGGGAUGACGUCAAGUCAUCAUGGCCCUUACGGCCAGGGCUACACACGUGCUACAAUGGUCGGUACAAAGGGUUGCCACACAGCGAUGUGAAGCUAAUCUCAAAAAGCCGAUCGUAGUCCGGAUUGGAGUCUGCAACUCGACUCCAUGAAGUCGGAAUCGCUAGUAAUCGCGGAUCAGAAUGCCGCGGUGAAUACGUUCCCGGGCCUUGUACACACCGCCCGUCACACCAUGGGAGUUGGUUGCACCAGAAGUAGGUUAGUCUAACCGCAAGGAGGCAACGCUUACCCAACGG